Molecule: transfer RNA, 72 nt
Filed under: Bacteroidota bacterium
Lineage: Bacteria; Pseudomonadati; Bacteroidota
Also listed under: 1 other name
Description: Bacteroidetes bacterium tRNA-Thr
Rfam family: tRNA
About the family: Transfer RNA (tRNA) molecules are approximately 80 nucleotides in length. Their secondary structure includes four short double-helical elements and three loops (D, anti-codon, and T loops). Further hydrogen bonds mediate the characteristic L-shaped molecular structure. tRNAs have two regions of fundamental functional importance: the anti-codon, which is responsible for specific mRNA codon recognition, and the 3' end, to which the tRNAs corresponding amino acid is attached (by aminoacyl-tRNA synthetases). tRNAs cope with the degeneracy of the genetic code in two manners: having more than one tRNA (with a specific anti-codon) for a particular amino acid; and 'wobble' base-pairing, i.e. permitting non-standard base-pairing at the 3rd anti-codon position.
Source: RNAcentral
GCCUCCUUAGCUCAGUGGUAGAGCAGCUCAUUCGUAAUGAGCAGGCCGUGGGUUCGACUCCCAUGGGAGGCU